RNAcentral lists this ribosomal RNA (300 nucleotides) under uncultured Pseudomonas sp. Its description in RNAcentral is "bacterial SSU rRNA". It matches the Rfam family "Bacterial small subunit ribosomal RNA", at positions 1086 to 1382 of the family's 1533-position model. Lineage: Bacteria; Pseudomonadati; Pseudomonadota; Gammaproteobacteria; Pseudomonadales; Pseudomonadaceae. The record is from RNAcentral.
CCCGUAACGAGCGCAACCCUUGUCCUUAGUUACCAGCACGUUAUGGUGGGCACUCUAAGGAGACUGCCGGUGACAAACCGGAGGAAGGUGGGGAUGACGUCAAGUCAUCAUCGGCCCUUACGGCCGUGGGCUACACACGUGCUACAAUGGUCGGUACAAAGGGUUGCCAAGCCGCGAGGUGGAGCUAAUCCCAUAAAACCGAUCGUAGUCCGGAUCGCAGUCUGCAACUCGACUGCGUGAAGUCGGAAUCGCUAGUAAUCGCGCAUCAGCCAUGGCGCGGUGAAUACGUUCCCGGGCCUU